RNAcentral lists this small RNA (106 nucleotides) under Marmota monax (woodchuck). Lineage: Eukaryota; Metazoa; Chordata; Mammalia; Rodentia; Sciuridae. The record is from RNAcentral.
CCUGGUGCUGUGGCGUAUGCCUGUAAUCCCAGUGACUUGGAAGGAUGAGGCAGGAGGAUCACAAGUUCAAGGACAGCUUCAGCAACUUAGUGAGACCAUGUCUCUC